UCCCCAACAAUAUCCUGAUGCUGAGUGAGCGGCACAUAGAGACUCCAGCAUCAGUGAUUUUGUUGAAGA
Sarcophilus harrisii (Tasmanian devil) is the source of this 69-nucleotide non-coding RNA. The record is from Rfam. NCBI's taxonomy places the organism in Eukaryota, Metazoa, Chordata, Mammalia, Dasyuromorphia, Dasyuridae.